Long non-coding RNA from Neltuma alba, 391 nucleotides. RefSeq lists it as uncharacterized. The transcript has 3 exons. The record is from RefSeq and is a predicted model, not a curated record. NCBI's taxonomy places the organism in Eukaryota, Viridiplantae, Streptophyta, Magnoliopsida, Fabales, Fabaceae.
GCUAGAGGAAGUGAGCAAUUGCUAAAUCAGCGAAGAGACUUGAUUGCUAAUUACCGGAAGUCUGUGGAAGAGCUUGUUAAAUCUGAGCCAUAAGUUCCAGUCAAUCAAAUGUGGCUCUCUAUCAUCAAUAUCUGGAUAUUACGGUUCUGAAGGGAAAAAUCAGAAGUUUUGAUAAAUAGGUUGUCGGAAAUGUGGAGGCAACUGGUAACUGGGAGCUAAAAUUUCUAUAUUUAGCUCCUCACAAGUAUAGUUUCUUUAUUGAUUAUUGAUGUUUCUUCUCUGUAACAGUCCCCAUUGUUAUUGGGUGAACCUUGUUAUUUAAUGUCGUUGAAGGUUCUGUAAAUGGUAGAACAUGCCUUUUAGAUUUCUGAUUUCUGAGUUCAGCUCUAAA